Molecule: long non-coding RNA, 1500 nt
Organism: Chenopodium quinoa (quinoa)
Lineage: Eukaryota; Viridiplantae; Streptophyta; Magnoliopsida; Caryophyllales; Amaranthaceae
Exons: 3
Source: RefSeq, a predicted model, not a curated record
CAAGAGAAAUAAGAGACCCGUUAUCAAACCUAAGAGGUCUUUUAACGUGUACCAUGUGUCAAUUAAAAAAAAUAUACAAGUAUCUAAGAGACCCGUCAUAACCUAACAAAUCACUUAAAGGCUUAAAUCUUGUAGUACAUUUUAUAUACCAACAUCUUUAUAUUAUCCCCCACUCCACUAUUCUUUUCAUAUUCUUCUAGUCUCUUCCUUAUCUUGUCUUCAUUCUCUCUCUUCUCAAUUUUCUCACUCUAAAUUAUUGAGGCUGAAUGCAAUAAAGCCCCUCAUUUAAUCUUCUCUAGAUUUAUUUUCUUUCCCCCCUCUAAAGUAUGACCUACCUCUAGAUCUACGGUUUUUCUCUAGUAGAAUGGUGGUUUCAGAUGAUGUCCGACUCUACUAACUGUCACUAUCCUCGCUAAGUGAUUGAGUGGUUUGUGCUGGGUUCUCACUCGUGGCUCCUUACUGCCGUAGCCCGUGGAGUACUCAAUUGAGGGCAGAGCGAAUAUGGAGUACUCAAGCUAUAUUAACGAAUAUUAUGAAUAGUAAUUAUAAGUGUAAAUUUCAAUUAUGUUUAUACUUCGUGUGUUUUAGUGUUUUUUUUUUGUAUAAUACUCCAUUAAUCCAUAUCAGUUUUGUUAUAAAGUACGGAGUACUUUUCUAGUCUGUAAUUUACCAUUUUUCUGCCAUUGGAAUAAAGAAUACAUUUUCAAAUUUCAUAUUUCAAAAUUAAAAUAUGAAAAAAAAAUUUGUUUUUUUUUCAAAAGAAAAAGAAUCAAAGAAACCCAUCAUAAAACAUAGCAGGUCUGUUAGUUUCAACUAAAGAUACCUAAUAUUUCAAAUAACAGGUCUGUUUCCCUCAGUAUAUGACAACUUGUACCCUCACAUAACAAACCACAUAUCUUUAUCAACGGGUCUGUUUGUCUUUCAAAGAGACCGCACCUCAUUAUGGGGUCUAGUUAUCAAACAGACCUCUGAGAUAGAGACCUGUUCAAAAGUGGUCUCUUAGGCAUAUUUGAACGCCUCUCUUAGACAAUUUUUGUAGUAGUGACACUAUCUUGUUCCCGCUCCAUGAUGGAUUUGUUCUAGUCAAGCUUAUUCAUGAUGAUGAAGGCUCGACAGUGACAUUAGUCAACCUUUUGGUCAACCAUUCAGAGGAGUACUUGAAGAGGGAAGGAAGCCAGUGCUUCUAUUGCAGUAGGUGGUCUUGCCACAUACAUGGGUGUCCCCAUUACACACCACUGAAAACGGAAGGGCCUAGAAAGGAGUAAGAAAUUAGCAAAAGGGGAAGUCGCACUUAGAGUAGGAAAUGGAGCAAAAGUUGUCGCACUUGCUAUUGGAAGCUAUAAUUUGAGACUUCCAUCUGGUCUUAUUUUGGUACUUAAUAACUGUUAUUAUGUCCCAACAAUUACCAAGAACAUUAUUUCAGUUCAUGAUUUAGAUACUGAAGGUUCGUCUUUUGAAAUAAGAGACAAGUGUUGUUUUAUAUCUAAAGGAAAUAUUUCA